Molecule: ribosomal RNA, 330 nt
Filed under: Clostridioides difficile
Lineage: Bacteria; Bacillati; Bacillota; Clostridia; Peptostreptococcales; Peptostreptococcaceae
Description: bacterial SSU rRNA
Rfam family: Bacterial small subunit ribosomal RNA
Source: RNAcentral
CGAAAGGUAUGCUAAUACGGGAUAAUAUAUUUGAGAGGCAUCUCUUAAAUAUCAAAGGUGAGCCAGUACAGGAUGGACCCGCGUCUGAUUAGUUAGUUGGUAAGGUAACGGCUUACCAAGGCGACGAUCAGUAGCCGACCUGAGAGGGUGAUCGGCCACAUUGGAACUGAGACACGGUCCAAACUCCUACGGGAGGCAGCAGUGGGGAAUAUUGCACAAUGGGCGAAAGCCUGAUGCAGCAACGCCGCGUGAGUGAUGAAGGCCUUCGGGUCGUAAAACUCUGUCCUCAAGGAAGAUAAUGACGGUACUUGAGGAGGAAGCCCCGGCUAA